GAGAGAGAGGGAGUGAAACAGAGAAAGAGAAGAGAGAGAAGAGAGAGAAAGAAGAGGGAGGGAGUGAAACAGAGAAAGAGAAGAGAGAGAAGAGAGAGAAGAGGGAGGGAGUGAAACAGAGAGAGAAGAGAGAGAAGAGAGAGAGAGGGAGUGAAACAGAGAAAGAGAAGAGAGAGAAGAGAGAGAAGAGAGAGAGAGGGAGAGAAACAGAGAAAGAAGAGAGAGAAGAGAGAGAAGAGGGAGUGAAACAGAGAAAGAGAAGAGAGAAGAGGGA
This is a long non-coding RNA of Oncorhynchus tshawytscha (Chinook salmon), 274 nucleotides long. NCBI's taxonomy places the organism in Eukaryota, Metazoa, Chordata, Actinopteri, Salmoniformes, Salmonidae. The record is from Ensembl.